Long non-coding RNA from Hibiscus syriacus, 135 nucleotides. RefSeq lists it as uncharacterized. The record is from RefSeq and is a predicted model, not a curated record. NCBI's taxonomy places the organism in Eukaryota, Viridiplantae, Streptophyta, Magnoliopsida, Malvales, Malvaceae. The transcript has 2 exons.
AAGAAUUAGGAUCGAAUCAUAGCAAGGCUAAGGUUCCGAGAAGAGAAAGAUUGAUAAAAGUUAUGCAAGACAGGCCAGUUCCUCCUUUUCAAAGAUAAGAUCAGAAAUGAAAUGAAUAGUUUGUAUUUUGUAAUA